CGCCGGAGUCGGGCGAGGGCGCCUCAGCCGCCACAGCGCAUCCCACCCCGGCCCGCUCACCGGUCACUCGACCACAGCACCAGCGGGACCUGCUGCUCCGCCGCUGCCGCCGCCGCCGCCGCCGCCAACGACAAAAACACCGGCAGCCACGGCAUGCGCCAGAGCGCCUGGGCGCACCGCGGCCCCAUCCGCACUCGAGCCGUCGCCAUGGCCGCCAUCAUAGCCUCAGCCUCCACUGCCUCAGCGGCCUCGACAGCCGCAGAUCAGGUGACCGUUGCCCCCGCCCGAGCCCCGCCUCGCACCUCCAUUGGCCCCAGCGCGGGCCGACCGGCAGGGCCGCAGGAGGAGAAAAAGAGACAGACACAGGGAGGAGAGCACUGCACGCAGCUGAAGGCAGAGAUUGGAAUGACACCUCUGCAAGCCAAGGAACACGGAGCAUUGCUGGGAACCACCGGAAGAAGCCAGAAGACAGGCCUGGAGCUGGCUUUCCCUCACAGCCCCAGAAGGAACCCACCCUGGUGCCACCUUGAUUUCGGACUUCUGGCCUUCAGAACUGGGAGAGAAUAAAUUUCUGUUGCUUUAAACUUC
RNAcentral lists this long non-coding RNA (588 nucleotides) under Homo sapiens (human). Its description in RNAcentral is "long non-coding RNA NONHSAT223659.1". The record is from RNAcentral. Lineage: Eukaryota; Metazoa; Chordata; Mammalia; Primates; Hominidae.